CCUACGGGAGGCUGCAGUGAGGAAUAUUGGUCAAUGGGCGCGAGCCUGAACCAGCCAAGCAGCGUGAAGGAUGACUGCCCUACGGGUUGUAAACUUCUUUUAUAAAGGAAUAAAGUGAGGCACGUGUGCCUUUCUGAAUGUACCUUAUGAAUAAGGAUCGGCUAACUCCGUGUCAGCAGCCGCGGUAAUACGGAGGAUUCGAGCGUUAUCCGGAUUUAUUGGGUUUAAAGGGAGCGUAGAUGGGUUGUUAAGUCAGUUGUGAAAGUUUGCGGCUCAACCGUAAAAUUGCAAUUGAUACUGGCAGUCUUGAGUGCAGUUGAGGUAGGCGGAAUUCGUGGUGUAGCGGUGAAAUGCUUAGAUAUCACACAGUACUCCGAUUGCGAAGGCAGCUUACUAAGCUGCCACUGACAUUGAUGCUCGAAAGUGUGGGUAUCAAACAGGAUUAGAUACCCCAGUAGUC
Molecule: ribosomal RNA, 460 nt
Filed under: uncultured bacterium
Lineage: Bacteria
Description: partial 16S ribosomal RNA
Rfam family: Bacterial small subunit ribosomal RNA
Source: RNAcentral